AUACGUAGGUGGCAAGCGUUGUCCGGAUUUACUGGGCGUAAAGGAUGCGUAGGCGGAUAUUUAAGUGAGAUGUGAAAUUCCCGGGCUUAACUUGGGAGCUGCAUUUCAAACUGGAUAUCUAGAGUGUGGGAGAGGAGAAUGGAAUUCCUAGUGUAGCGGUGAAAUGCGUAGAGAUUAGGAAGAACACCAGUGGCGAAGGCGAUUCUCUGGACCAUAACUGACGCUGAGGCAUGAAAGCGUGGGUAGCAAACAGGAUUAGAUACCCUGGUAGUCCACGCCGUAAACGAUGAGUACUAGGUGUAGGAGGGUACAACCUUCUGUGCCGCAGUUAACACAAUAAGUACUCCGCCUGGGAAGUACGAUCGCAAGAUUAAA
Molecule: ribosomal RNA, 375 nt
Filed under: uncultured bacterium
Lineage: Bacteria
Description: bacterial SSU rRNA
Rfam family: Bacterial small subunit ribosomal RNA
Source: RNAcentral